RNAcentral lists this ribosomal RNA (412 nucleotides) under uncultured bacterium. RNAcentral's name for it is "bacterial SSU rRNA". It matches the Rfam family "Bacterial small subunit ribosomal RNA", at positions 91 to 518 of the family's 1533-position model. The record is from RNAcentral.
CGUAGCGGCGGACGGGUGAGUAACGCGUGAGCAACCUGUCCUACAGGGGAUAACACAGCGAAAGUUGUACUAAUACCGCAUGAGACCACGGGGAGACAUCUUUCUGAGGUCAAAGGAGCAAUCCGGUAAGGGGUGGGCUCGCGUCCGAUUAGAUAGUUGGUGAGGUAACGGCCCACCAAGUCGACGAUCGGUAGCCGACCUGAGAGGGUGAUCGGCCACAUUGGGACUGAGACACGGCCCAAACUCCUACGGGAGGCAGCAGUGGGGAAUAUUGGGCAAAAUGGGGGGAACCCUGACCCAGCAACGCCGCGUGAGGGAAGAAGGUUUUCGGAUCGUAAACCUCUGUCCUUGGUGAAGAGUAAGAGACGGUAGCCAAGGAGGAAGCCCCGGCUAACUACGUGCCAGCCGCGGC